UGGCUCAGGACGAACGCUGGCGGCGCGCCUAACACAUGCAAGUCGAACGAGAGAUGAGGAGCUUGCUCUUCAAAUCGAGUGGCGAACGGGUGAGUAACGCGUGAGGAACCUGCCUCAAAGAGGGGGACAACAGUUGGAAACGACUGCUAAUACCGCAUAAGCCCACGGCUCGGCAUCGAGCAGAGGGAAAAGGAGCAAUCCGCUUUGAGAUGGCCUCGCGUCCGAUUAGCUAGUUGGUGAGGUAACGGCCCACCAAGGCGACGAUCGGUAGCCGGACUGAGAGGUUGAACGGCCACAUUGGGACUGAGACACGGCCCAGACUCCUACGGGAGGCAGCAGUGGGGAAUAUUGCACAAUGGGGGAAACCCUGAUGCAGCGACGCCGCGUGGAGGAAGAAGGUCUUCGGAUUGUAAACUCCUGUUGUUGAGGAAGAUAAUGACGGUACUCAACGAGGAAGUGACGGCUAACUACGUGCCAGCAGCCGCGGUAAAACGUAGGUCACAAGCGUUGUCCGGAAUUACUGGGUGUAAAGGGAGCGCAGGCGGGAGAACAAGUUGGACGUGAAAUCCAUGGGCUCAACCCAUGAACUGCUUUCAAAACUGUUUUUCUUGAGUAGUGCAGAGGUAGGCGGAAUUCCCGGUGUAGCGGUGGAAUGCGUAGAUAUCGGGAGGAACACCAGUGGCGAAGGCGGCCUACUGGGCACCAACUGACGCUGAGGCUCGAAAGUGUGGGUAGCAAACAGGAUUAGAUACCCUGGUAGUCCACACCGU
RNAcentral lists this ribosomal RNA (770 nucleotides) under uncultured bacterium. Its description in RNAcentral is "bacterial SSU rRNA". It matches the Rfam family "Bacterial small subunit ribosomal RNA", at positions 20 to 803 of the family's 1533-position model. The record is from RNAcentral.